AAGUCGUAACAAGGUUUCCGUAGGUGAACCUGCGGAAGGAUCAUUAGCAUUACCAGCAAAAAGUUCGCGAGAGCUUUUUGAACUCGGUCAAGCUGAUCGUUAAGAGUAGUAGCAAUACUGUCUUUUGGCGAUCAUCACAACAAGUAACCUGGGGUACUUUAAUAGUAAGGGAUGCAUUUCGGUGUGUCUUUUGCUUUUAGAGCCCUUCUAAUAAUCCCUAAUUUUUUACCAUUUUACCCCUUAUAAACUAAUAAGACUGAUAUGACAUGAUUUAAUGUCACAAUUAAAUCGAAAAACAACUCUUAACAAUGGAUAUCUAGGUUCUG
This 326-nucleotide unclassified non-coding RNA is filed under the name fungal sp. RNAcentral describes it as "partial internal transcribed spacer region". The stretch from base 1 to 46 matches the Rfam family "Eukaryotic small subunit ribosomal RNA", at positions 1786 to 1831 of the family's 1831-position model. Lineage: Eukaryota; Fungi. The record is from RNAcentral.